RNAcentral lists this ribosomal RNA (419 nucleotides) under uncultured bacterium. Its description in RNAcentral is "bacterial SSU rRNA". It matches the Rfam family "Bacterial small subunit ribosomal RNA", at positions 355 to 771 of the family's 1533-position model. The record is from RNAcentral.
UAAGGAAUAUUGGACAAUGGGCGCAAGCCUGAUCCAGCCAUCCCGCGUGCAGGAUGACGGCCCUAUGGGUUGUAAACUGCUUUUAGGGGAGAAGAAACCUGUUCCUGCGGGAGCAGCUGACGGUACCCCCUGAAUAAGCACCGGCUAACUCCGUGCCAGCAGCCGCGGUAAUACGGAGGGUGCAAGCGUUAUCCGGAAUUACUGGGUUUAAAGGGUGCGUAGGCGGCUUAGUAAGUCAGGGGUGAAAGGCUACAGCUUAACUGUGGAAUUGCCUUUGAUACUGCUGAGCUUGAAUGAGGUUGAGGUGAGCAGAAUGUGGCAUGUAGCGGUGAAAUGCAUAGAUAUGCCAUAGAAUACCGAUUGCGAAGGCAGCUCACUGGACCUGGAUUGACGCUGAGGCACGAAAGCGUGGGGAGCGA